Molecule: ribosomal RNA, 409 nt
Filed under: uncultured bacterium
Lineage: Bacteria
Description: bacterial SSU rRNA
Rfam family: Bacterial small subunit ribosomal RNA
Source: RNAcentral
ACGAACGCUGGCGGCGCGCCUAAUACAUGCAAGUCGAGCGAGAAGGUGUAGCAAUACACUUGUAAAGCGGCGAACGGGUGAGGAAUACAUGGGUAACCUACCCUCGAGUGGGGAAUAACUAGCCGAAAGGUUAGCUAAUACCGCAUACGAUUCCAGGACUUCGGUACUGGAAGGAAAGCACUACCGUGGGUAGUGCGCUCCUGGAUGGGCUCAUGUCCUAUCAGCUUGUUGGUGAGGUAAAGGCUCACCAAGGCUUCGACGGGUAGCUGGUCUGAGAGGACGAUCAGCCACACUGGCACUGCGACACGGGCCAGACUCCUACGGGAGGCAGCAGUAAGGAAUAUUGCGCAAUGGGCGACAGCCUGACGCAGCGACGCCGCGUGGGGGAUGAAGGUCUUCGGAUUGUAAA